RNAcentral lists this ribosomal RNA (497 nucleotides) under uncultured bacterium. RNAcentral's name for it is "partial 16S ribosomal RNA". It matches the Rfam family "Bacterial small subunit ribosomal RNA", at positions 28 to 507 of the family's 1533-position model. The record is from RNAcentral.
GAUGAACGCUGGCGGCGUGCCUAAUACAUGCAAGUCGAGCGAACAGACGAGGAGCUUGCUCCUCUGACGUUAGCGGCGGACGGGUGAGUAACACGUGGAUAACCUACCUAUAAGACUGGGAUAACUUCGGGAAACCGGAGCUAAUACCGGAUAAUAUAUUGAACCGCAUGCUUCAAUAGUGAAAGACGGUUUUGCUGUCACUUAUAGAUGGAUCCGCGCCGCAUUAGCUAGUUGGUAAGGUAACGGCUUACCAAGGCAACGAUGCGUAGCCGACCUGAGAGGGUGAUCGGCCACACUGGAACUGAGACACGGUCCAGACUCCUACGGGAGGCAGCAGUAGGGAAUCUUCCGCAAUGGGCGAAAGCCUGACGGAGCAACGCCGCGUGAGUGAUGAAGGUCUUCGGAUCGUAAAACUCUGUUAUUAGGGAAGAACAAAUGUGUAAGUAACUAUGCACGUCUUGACGGUACCUAAUCAGAAAGCCACGGCUAACUACGUG